RNAcentral lists this ribosomal RNA (253 nucleotides) under uncultured bacterium. RNAcentral's name for it is "partial 16S ribosomal RNA". It matches the Rfam family "Bacterial small subunit ribosomal RNA", at positions 524 to 776 of the family's 1533-position model. The record is from RNAcentral.
UACAGAGACUGCGAGCGUUAUUCGGAUUCACUGGGCGUAAAGGGUGCGUAGGUGGUGAGGUAAGUCGGAUGUGAAAGCUCGGAGCUCAACUCCGAAAUGGCAUUGGAAACUACCUUGCUCGAGGGUUGGAGGGGGGACUGGAAUGCUUGGUGUAGCAGUGAAAUGCGUAGAUAUCAGGAGGAACACCGGUGGCGAAGGCGGGUCUCUGGGCAGUAACUGACGCUGAGGAGCGAAAGCGUGGGGAGCGAACAGG